This 74-nucleotide transfer RNA is filed under the name Tautonia sociabilis. It matches the Rfam family "tRNA". From Rfam's summary of the family: Transfer RNA (tRNA) molecules are approximately 80 nucleotides in length. Lineage: Bacteria; Pseudomonadati; Planctomycetota; Planctomycetia; Isosphaerales; Isosphaeraceae. RNAcentral also lists the same sequence under 1 other name. The record is from Rfam by way of RNAcentral.
CGGGGCGUGGGAAAGGCUGGGAAUCCGCCUGGUUCGGGUCCAGGAGAGCGCCGGUUCGAAUCCGGCCGCCCCGA